This is a long non-coding RNA of Anas platyrhynchos (mallard), 1891 nucleotides long. RefSeq lists it as uncharacterized. NCBI's taxonomy places the organism in Eukaryota, Metazoa, Chordata, Aves, Anseriformes, Anatidae. The record is from RefSeq and is a predicted model, not a curated record.
ACACAGCUGAAAGCUUUCCAGAUCUUCCUCUUCUGCUGUGGUCUCUUACAUGGAACCACAGGCAGAAGGUCUGGAUGAGACCAGCUGCCCCAGGCUUUUCUGAACCAUGGUUCACUGGUAUCCUCUUCCUUACCUCACCUACCAUAAAUCCACCUGAAACCUGUUGAUUUAACUUACUAGCUAGUAGUUCCUUGGGUAGCUGCUACCUCCUGCCUUGUGCUAUGCCGUGGAGUAAGUUCACACACUUCAUCUUCUGCAUGGGAGCUGCUUACCUACAUCAAUUGUAAAGCCUAAGAAGGUUUCUGCACCAAUGGCAGCUCCACUGAUCUACAGAGUUUGGGCUGUAAUAUAUACUUUUAAUUAGAGAAGCUUGAUCCUGGCUGCCUACCAGAAGCUGUCAAUGUCCUAUUAGCACAUACGUGCCUGUUCCUCUGAAAUCCUCCAGCAAAGCAUGGCAGCCAGGUGACAGCAGUCUUCCCCCAAAAUGUUUGGAAAGGAACAGAGAACCAAAGUCUUAUUUCAUCGUUUCUAACAACUGGGAUUCAGAGCUCAGCUUUUGGUAACUGAAACAAGCCAUAAGAUCAACCACCAACAGUGACACAACAGGAAUCCUCAUCUAGCAAAAGCAACUCUUCCAAGUCAUUUAGUUGCACCAAAUUUCCAAUGUGCUCUCCCAAAAUACUGUGCUUGUGAUGAAAAGUAAUUACUUCUGGAUGUUUUACCUAUACAUCUUUGCACUAUUCCCAGCAUCUGAGCUGCAGUAAGGUUCAGUGAGAGACAUGCACUGUAAGGGCAACAGACAUAUCCAAACCCCACUGUCUGCUCCCACGGGAAAGAGACCAUGAAUUCACUGCAAAGACACAAAUUUCUGUAAAUGGAUGUGAUGGAAUUAAGAGGGGGUGCCAAAAGAAGCCUCUAGGAAAGGAGGGCUUCAGCUCUCCUCCUCUGCCUCCACCAGCAGCUGGUUUAGAAAACAGAACAUUUCUUUUUCCUGAUAACAGCUGUGACAAAGUGUAGAUUUAUCCAAGGCAGAUUUAACUAGCUAUAUACAGCACCAGUGCUGGUGUAGCACUGGCAACACAAUGCUCAGCAAAACACCUUUUUACCUGCUAUUUACUCAGCUGAUCAGUUUGGGGUGAGUAUUUCAGUCAGCCCUGAUCUCUGUGCUGCUGCAGGUGUACAGCUAGCAGAAAUGAAGUAGUUAGUCUAAAGUGCUCACAUAUAUAUCUCUAGGUGAUGGCCAUGUGGACAUAUCCUUAACUAUUUCUUCAGUGCAAGAACGUAAGGACGUCAAGACUCUAUUACACCCCAGAUGAUGCUAUACAAUGAGUCAUAUUGCAAAUGCACAUGCUGAAAACAACGAAAAAGAUUACUGACCUAGCACAAAGAGUGCUGCUAUUAAGUGAAGACACUGUGCUUAUACAGCCUUAUCUCUGUCCCUUUUAUCUGACUGCACAUUUAUUCUUCCUAUCACAGCACAUCCAUAUUAUUUAGGUCUGCUGCUCCUUCCUUCUUCUCGGGCUAUUCUUAAAAUCCCCACUCUUGUUUAUUUUUCAUCUCCACAUUUUGACCUCAAAACACCAUUCUACAUGCUCAUGCUGCUGGUUGCAAAUUGAAGCAAACUAUUUAACCAUGAUAUUUGGCGUGCAUUAUUUGUUUCUAGAAAUUUAUGUAAAAAGCUAUCAAUGUACACGCUGUCAAACAGGCAAGUGGUAUCCCAGGGGCUCAAUUUAUGAAACGUUAAAUAAGAUCUUAAAAGGCUGAGAUAUAUCGUGAUAUAGCACAAACAAGUUACAUGCCAGCCAUUUUUGUUGUGCAACAAAUUGUUGUUCAGCUGGGAUAAAAAUAUUUCUGCUAAAAAUCUUUGCACUGUAUAUUUUAAACUGAAGAC